AGUAGCGUGAAGGAUGACUGCCCUAUGGGUUGUAAACUUCUUUUAUACGGGAAUAAAGUGAGCCACGUGUGGCUUUUUGUAUGUACCGUAUGAAUAAGGAUCGGCUAACUCCGUGCCAGCAGCCGCGGUAAUACGGAGGAUCCGAGCGUUAUCCGGAUUUAUUGGGUUUAAAGGGAGCGUAGGCGGGUUGUUAAGUCAGUUGUGAAAGUUUGCGGCUCAACCGUAAAAUUGCAGUUGAUACUGGCGACCUUGAGUGCAACAGAGGUAGGCGGAAUUCGUGGUGUAGCGGUGAAAUGCUUAGAUAUCACGAAGAACUCCGAUUGCGAAGGCGGCUUACUGGAUUGUAACUGACGCUGAUGCUCGAAAGUGUGGGUAUCAAACAGGAUUAGAUACCCUGGUAGUCCACACAGUAAACGAUGAAUACUCGCUGUUGGCGAUAUACGGUCAGCGGCCAAGCGAAAGCAUUAAGUAUUCCACCUGGGGAGUACGCCGGCAACGGUGAAACUCAAAGGAAUUGACGGGGGCCCGCACAAGCGGAGGAACAUGUGGUUUAAUUCGAUGAUACGCGAGGAACCUUACCCGGGCUUAAAUUGCAACUGACUGAACCGGAAACGGUUCUUUCUUCGGACAGUUGUGAAGGUGCUGCAUGGUUGUCGUCAGCUCGUGCCGUGAGGUGUCGGCUUAAGUGCCAUAACGAGCGCAACCCUUAUCGAUAGUUACUAGCAGGUCAUGCUGAGGACUCUAUUGAGACUGCCGUCGUAAGAUGUGAGGAAGGUGGGGAUGACGUCAAAUCAGCACGGCCCUUACGUCCGGGGCUACACACGUGUUACAAUGGGGGGUACAGAAGGCAGCUACACGGCGACGUGGUGCUAAUCCCUAAAGCCUCUCUCAGUUCGGAUUGGAGUCUGCAACCCGACUCCAUGAAGCUGGAUUCGCUAGUAAUCGCGCAUCAGCCACGGCGCGGUGAAUACGUUCCCGGGCCUUGUACACACCGCCC
This 997-nucleotide ribosomal RNA is filed under the name uncultured bacterium. Its description in RNAcentral is "bacterial SSU rRNA". It matches the Rfam family "Bacterial small subunit ribosomal RNA", at positions 395 to 1395 of the family's 1533-position model. The record is from RNAcentral.